AGGUUGCCAUCAAGCGGAUGCGCAAGACUGACAACAAUCGUUACCUUGAUAUUCCUGGGCAUCCCGAACCUCUCGUUACAGAAGUGGCGCUGCUGCUGAUGAUGAGGCGAGAACCCAUAAGCCCCUACAUCAUACAACUAUACGAGUGGUUUGAACAUCCUCGAAAAUUCACUCUGGUCAUGGAGUUCCCUGAACCCUGCGAGAGCUUGCUGGACUUCAUCGUUCGUCAUCCUCAACUGGACGAAACAACAGCGCAGGUCAUCAUGCGACAGGCUGUGCUGGCAGUACAACACUGCGUUGAGCAUGGUGUUUUUCAUAAUGACGUUCAUGCGCAGAACUUCCUGUUGAAGAAAAACACGUUAGAGCUCAAGCUGAUAGACUUUGGCUGCGGUCAGCUGUUGAGCAGCGAUGGCUACGAGAGGAACAUAUACCGUGGAAUACUGGAUUACUGCCCACCUGAAGUCUUGACAGACCCUCGAUUUUACGCCGUCCCAGCGAAUGUCUGGUCUCUAGGAGUGCUGCUGUAUGAGAUGGUGAACGCAUGUUCUCCUUUUCAGGACAGAGCGGAAAUCACACAAGCCAAAGUUACAUUUCAGAACUCCAGCUUAUCCAAAGAAUGCAGAGAUCUGAUUAGCCAGUGCCUAACCCGGGAUCCAACUAAACGGCCGACGUUAGAGCAGAUGUUACAACAUAAAUGGAUUAGAAAUGAUGUAGAUUGGAGAAGUUCAAGAGAUUCACUUUAUCAGUGAUUACAGGAAACAACAGACUUGCUGUCGUCGGUGGAGGGCUUGAACUCGAGAUUUGACUGAAGCCUGAAGUCCAACCCCAGCCUGACAGGAACUCAGAGCCGCCGCACCAGAGACUCAGAGCCUGUCCACGUCUGAGAAGAACACGAGAGACGACAAGACUGGAGAGAAUCGUCAAGUCAUUACAGACACAUGUGCUUCGUUCUAAAAUGUCAAGACGAGUCAUCUUUAUUUAUGACCAAUCUGUCUGUGACUGUAUAUGUAUAUAUGUAUAUAAAAUCUCUAUAUGACCCCUUUGAAUAAAUGUUUUUAGUUGCAUAAAUACUACAUGGUUGCAAGCUUCAGUGCAUUGUAGAGCCUGUCAUAACAAAACAUAAUCCUACA
Ctenopharyngodon idella (grass carp) is the source of this 1130-nucleotide RNA transcript. It is a transcript of the gene named serine/threonine-protein kinase pim-2-like, with no coding region annotated. The transcript has 5 exons. Lineage: Eukaryota; Metazoa; Chordata; Actinopteri; Cypriniformes; Xenocyprididae. The record is from RefSeq and is a predicted model, not a curated record.